UACCAGCACCCCGAGUGGUCGGGACGUUUAUUGGGCCUAAAGCAUCCGUAGCCGGUUCCACAAGUCUUCCGUUAAAUCCACCUGCUUAACAGAUGGGCUGCGGAAGAUACUAUAGAGCUAGGAGGCGGGAGAGGCAAGCGGUACUCGAUGGGUAGGGGUAAAAUCCGUUGAUCCAUUGAAGACCACCAGUGGCGAAGGCGGCUUGCCAGAACGCGCUCGACGGUGAGGGAUGAAAGCUGGGGGAGCAAACCGG
Molecule: ribosomal RNA, 253 nt
Filed under: uncultured bacterium
Lineage: Bacteria
Description: partial 16S ribosomal RNA
Rfam family: Archaeal small subunit ribosomal RNA
Source: RNAcentral